This 492-nucleotide ribosomal RNA is filed under the name uncultured bacterium. Its description in RNAcentral is "partial 16S ribosomal RNA". It matches the Rfam family "Bacterial small subunit ribosomal RNA", at positions 29 to 507 of the family's 1533-position model. The record is from RNAcentral.
AGUGAACGCUGGCGGUAGGCCUAACACAUGCAAGUCGAACGGCAGCACAGUAAGAGCUUGCUCUUACGGGUGGCGAGUGGCGGACGGGUGAGGAAUACAUCGGAAUCUACUUUUUCGUGGGGGAUAACGUAGGGAAACUUACGCUAAUACCGCAUACGACCUACGGGUGAAAGCAGGGGAUCUUCGGACCUUGCGCGAUUGAAUGAGCCGAUGUCGGAUUAGCUAGUUGGCGGGGUAAAGGCCCUCCAAGGCGACGAUCCGUAGCUGGUCUGAGAGGAUGAUCAGCCACACUGGAACUGAGAAACGGUCCAGACUCCUACGGGAGGCAGCAGUGGGGAAUAUUGGACAAUGGGCGCAAGCCUGAUCCAGCCAUACCGCGUGGGUGAAGAAGGCCUUCGGGUUGUAAAGCCCUUUUGUUGGGAAAGAAAAGCAGCAGGUUAAUACCCCGCUGUUCUGACGGUACCCAAAGAAUAAGCACCGGCUAACUUCGUG